GGACAGCUCAGUUCCACGCUGAGAUGCCAGCUCUGUUUCAGCUGUGGUGUCCCUGGGGCUGCUCCAAGGGGUGGCAACAGCUCCCAGGGCACUACAGGAUGCUGUGUGUGGAAACUGUGUCUGUGAGGAGCAGGACAGCUCUGCUCUGGCCAGCAAAUGGCUUUGAAUCAAUUUGUAAUGCUACAUCCAAGACAUGUAAUAUCACCUGCAAAACUUCCAUGUGUGACUGAAGUAACCUGGUAUGGAAAUCAAAAACACCUGUGCUGGAUGAAGCUCGGCCUGUGACUGGAACGUUUAGGAAAGCACAUGUAGGAAGUGAGCACAGCAGACUGUAAGGAGCAGACAUUUAUAGGACAACCUUUCAUAAUCACCAG
Molecule: long non-coding RNA, 374 nt
Filed under: Chloebia gouldiae (Gouldian finch)
Lineage: Eukaryota; Metazoa; Chordata; Aves; Passeriformes; Passeridae
Description: Erythrura gouldiae (Gouldian finch) lncRNA (ENSEGOG00005016958.1)
Source: RNAcentral